CGGGGUGAGUAAUGUCUGGGAAACUGCCUGAUGAGGGGGAUAACUGCUGGAAACGGUAGCUAAUACCGCAUAACGUCGCAAGACCAAGAGGGGGACCUUCGGGCCUCUUGCCAUCGGAUGUGCCCAGAUGGGAUUAGCUAGUAGGUGGGGUAACGGCUCACCUAGGCGACGAUCCCUAGCUGGUCUGAGAGGAUGACCAGCCACACUGGAACUGAGACACGGUCCAG
This 227-nucleotide ribosomal RNA is filed under the name uncultured bacterium. RNAcentral describes it as "partial 16S ribosomal RNA". It matches the Rfam family "Bacterial small subunit ribosomal RNA", at positions 104 to 334 of the family's 1533-position model. The record is from RNAcentral.